UACGUAGGGGGCAAGCGUUGUCCGGAAUCAUUGGGCGUAAAGAGCGUGUAGGUGGCUCGGUAAGUCCGCUGUGAAAGUCCAGGGCUCAACCCUGGAAUGCCGGUGGAAACUGUCGAGCUAGAGUCCGGAAGAGGCGAGUGGAAUUCCUGGUGUAGCGGUGAAAUGCGCAGAUAUCAGGAGGAACACCAAUGGCGAAGGCAGCUCGCUGGGACGGUACUGACACUGAGACGCGAAAGCGUGGGGAG
RNAcentral lists this ribosomal RNA (245 nucleotides) under uncultured Conexibacter sp. RNAcentral's name for it is "partial 16S ribosomal RNA". It matches the Rfam family "Bacterial small subunit ribosomal RNA", at positions 524 to 768 of the family's 1533-position model. Lineage: Bacteria; Bacillati; Actinomycetota; Thermoleophilia; Solirubrobacterales; Conexibacteraceae. The record is from RNAcentral.